UACGUAGGCAGCGAGCGUUGUUCGGAAUUACUGGGCGUAAAGAGUGUGUAGGCGGUGCUCCCAGUCUGUUGUGAAAUCUCCCGGCUUAACUGGGAGGGUGCAGCGGAAACUAGAGUGCUAGAGGGUGGGAGAGGUAAGCGGAAUUCCUGGUGUAGCGGUGAAAUGCGUAGAUAUCAGGAGGAACACCUGUGGUGUAGACAGCUUACUGGACCACAUCUGACGCUGAGACACGAAAGCGUGGGUAGCAAACAGG
This 253-nucleotide ribosomal RNA is filed under the name uncultured bacterium. RNAcentral's name for it is "partial 16S ribosomal RNA". It matches the Rfam family "Bacterial small subunit ribosomal RNA", at positions 524 to 776 of the family's 1533-position model. The record is from RNAcentral.